UUUUUUUUUUUUUUUUUUUGAGACGGAGUCUCUUUUUUGAGAUGGAGUCUUGCUCUGUCGCCCGGGCUAGCAUGCAGUGGCAUGAUCUCGGCUUACUGCAAGCUCCACCUCCCAGGUUCACGUCAUUCUCCUGCCUCAGCCUUCCAAGUAGCUGGGAUUACAGGCAUGCACCACCACACCCUGCUAAUUUGUAUUUUUAGUAGAGACAGGGUUUCUCCAUGUUGGUCAAGCUAGCCUCGAACUCCCAGCCUCAGGUGAUCCUCCUGCCUUGGCCUCCCAAAGUGCUGGGAUUACAGGCGUGAGCCACCACACCUGGUGAGUGUGUUUUAUCUUGAAAUCCCUUUCAGAAUAGAAAUAAAGUGCUGGGAUUACAGGAGUGAGCCACCACGCCCAGCCUAAAGUUUCUUUUUGAUUUAAUCUUCUCUCUUAAAGCUCAUAGGGCUGGCUAAAAUUGCUCAUUGUAUUUCUGAAUUUCCAUUCCCCAACAACGCCUCAUUUUACAUUUUUCUUUACACAAUUUUUGGAAUCCUUUUUCUUUUCACUCAGUUCUCCUCUUCCCCAACCAAAAUGUCUUUUGCUCGGAUUAAACUCAUUUACUGGCCGGGCAUGAUGGCUCACGCCUGUGAUCCUAACACUUUGGGAGGCCGAGGCGGGCGGAUCACGAGCUCAGGAAAUCGAGACCAUCCUGGCUAACAUGGUAAAACCCCAUCUCUACUAAAAAUACAAAAAAAUUAGCCGGGCGAGGUGGCGGGCGCCUGUAGUCCCAGCUAUUUGGGAGGCUGAGGCAGGAGAAUGGCGUGAACCCUGGAGGCAGAGCUUGUAGUGAGCUGAGAUCGCACCACUGCACUCCAGCCUGGGCAAUAAAGUGAGACUCCCUCUCAAAAAAAUCAAACAAACAAACAAAUAAACUCAUUUACCAAAGGAACGAAUACAUGAUUAUUCCCCAGAGGCAGUUUUAUUUGAAAAGAAAAACUUCUUAAUGAAUCUCUAAUUGGCCAAAUUUCAGGUAAUCUAACAAUCCUAGAUUUCAGGACUUUCUUAUAUCUCUUAAAACAUAUUCCUAGGUAAUUGUCUAGUACGGGUGGUUUUUCAAACAUUUAAAAGCCAUUGAAUUCUUGCUUCAAAUAAAAUUAGGCAGUAGCCGAGUGAGUAGAAGAGAUAAAGGGCUAAAGUACUUGGCUAAAUGGGGAUGGGGGCCCAGGACCCUCCCCACUCACCUCUGCUUCUCUUCACCAGCCACCACUGUGGAACAACUCCAGUAAGAGGCCAGCCCAUAUUUGCACCCAAAUGCACACACCUACGGGGAAAGAAUGGAUGAUACACAAGUAGAGAGCCCAUUCUUGGGCGUCCAAAAGGAGCCUGUAGAUGUCUGUUGCCAUAAUAAAUCACAUUCACAUUUUUUAAAACACUUUGAGAAUGUGGCAAAACAAGAAGUGAAUGGAGUGAGAAAUCUCAGGUUUAGAACUUUGGUGUGAGAUGUGGUUAUGUUCUGAAACAAAUAUGGUCAACUAAGUGUAUUCUUGAGGCCAACCUGUCUAUUAUUAGCUCCUUUUGGAGAAUUGGUUUUCCCCCAAUGUGGGUUUUCCCUUCCUCAAACUUUAAAUUUCAUCCAACUACCAAAAUAAUUUUCUCCUUUGAAACAAGAGUUCCAGGGGUAUUUUCCUAGUAAAGUACAAUGUGGAAGAUGGCCUCCAGAAAGACCAUGCUGUUCCUCUUUUUGUUGAUCUCUAGGUCUGUGUUUCUUACCCUGCAGGUACCUCACACCCAACAGCACCUAAACAGACUCUUAGAACUUCCCUCAAAGCUUGUCCCUCCUCUAGGUUAUCCUAUCCAGUCACAAAGUUAAAAGUCACCAUAAAGACAGCAACCAUUAAAUUACUGGGGCUCUAAGUUAGGCAUAUCAUGAAGAUCAGGAUUUUUCAAUUUCAACAGUACUGACACUUGGGGCAGGAUAACUCUUUGUCGCGUGGGCCUAUUCUGUGCAUUGUAGGAUGUUUAGCAGCAUCCCUGGCCUUUACACACUAGAUGCUAGCAGCACCUACCCACUUUGAGGCUAUACAAUCAAAAAUAUCUCCAGGCAUUGCCAGAUGUCUGCUAGAGGAAAAAUCAACUCCAUUUGAGAACCACUGAUGUGUAUGAUCUCUAUUCCUCACAAUACCCACAUGGGGCAGAGGAGGAAACUGGACCUCUGAGGAAUUAAGGGACUUGGCCUUGGUUGUGUGACCAGUAUAUGGCAGAGCUGGUCUCAAAGUACUAUAAAAGCCAUCUCCCCUUCUCUCUGCUGCCUUCCAGUACCCAAUUCUCUCUUUCUUCUAGUUUUUAUCUAUGCUAAUCUCUCAUGUGACGUGCCUUUCAUGUUUUAUUUAUUUGUUUUGUAGAGAUGAGGUCUUACCAUGCUGCCCAGGCUGACCUUAAACUCCUGGCCUCAGGUGAUCCUCCUGCCUCAGUCUCCAGACGUGCUGGGAUUACAGGCAUGAGCAACUAACCCUGGCCCAUGUGAAAUGUCUUAAUUUUGCUCCCUGCUUUCUGGAUUGCCUUAGCUCAGAUCUGUAUUUCUUACCUAGCCAUAACUAGGUUCUGAAUUUAUCUUCCCAAUUUCAGUCUCUUCAUCUUUCAAUCUCCGUUUCACAUUGUUAGAGCUAACUUUGUGAAACAGAUAUUAUUAGUGUAACUGCCUUAUUGAAAAACUUUCUGUGCCUUCCACAUUGCCUACAACAGUGGUUCCCAAAGGAUGAUCCUGAGACUGGCAUCAUUGGUAUUACCUGGCAAUUUGUUAGAACUGCAAAUCCUUGGGCCCCAUCCCAGACCUGAAUCAGAAACUAUUUCUUUCUUUUUUUUUUUUUUUUUUUUUUGAGACAGAGUCUGUCUCUGUCACCCAGGUAGAGGCGGGGUUUCACCAUGUUGGCCAGGCUGGUCUUCAACUCCUGACCUCAGGUGAUCCUCCUGCCUUGGCCUCCAAAAGUACUGGAAUUACAGGAGUGAGCCACUGCACCUGGCCAUAAAUCUGUUUUAACACACCCUCCUCCAAGUGGUUCUGAUGCUUACUU
Long non-coding RNA from Macaca mulatta (Rhesus monkey), 3047 nucleotides. The record is from Ensembl. NCBI's taxonomy places the organism in Eukaryota, Metazoa, Chordata, Mammalia, Primates, Cercopithecidae.